GACGAACGCUGGCGGCGUGCUUAACACAUGCAAGUCGAACGCUGAAGACCUGGCUUUUGUUGGGGUGGAUGAGUGGCGAACGGGUGAGUAACACGUGAGUAACCUGCCCUCUUCUUUGGGAUAACGCCCGGAAACGGGUGCUAAUACUGGAUAUUCACUGAUCUUCGCAUGGGGGUUGGUGGAAAGGGUUGUUCUGGUGGGGGAUGGGCUCGCGGCCUAUCAGCUUGUUGGUGGGGUGAUGGCCUACCAAGGCUUUGACGGGUAGCCGGCCUGAGAGGGGGACCUGUCACGUUGGGACUGCAAUACGGCCCAGACUCCUGCGGGAGGCAGCAGUGGGGGAUAUUGCACAAGGGGCGAACGCCUGAUGCGGCGGCGCGGCGUGAGGGAUGCAGGCCUUGGGGUUGUAAACCUCUUUCGCUCAUGGUCAAGCCGCAACUGUGGGUUGUGGUGAGGGUAGUGGGUAAAGAAGCGCCGGCUAACUACGUG
RNAcentral lists this ribosomal RNA (486 nucleotides) under uncultured bacterium. RNAcentral's name for it is "partial 16S ribosomal RNA". It matches the Rfam family "Bacterial small subunit ribosomal RNA", at positions 28 to 507 of the family's 1533-position model. The record is from RNAcentral.